AGAGUUUGAUCCUGGCUCAGGAUGAACGCUAGCGGUAGGCCUAAUACAUGCAAGUCGCGCGAACACUUCGGUGUUAGCGGCGGACGGGUGCGUAACGCGUAUCUAACCUACCCUCUAGAGGGGGACAACAGCUGGAAACGGCUGCUAAUACCCCAUAACACAGCGGGUGCACAUGCACACAGUUGUUAAAGACUUCGGUCGCUGGAGGAUGGAGAUGCGUCUGAUUAGUUAGUUGGUGAGGUAACGGCUCACCAAGACAACGAUCAGUAGCUGGUCUGAGAGGAUGAUCAGCCACACUGGGACUGAGACACGGCCCAGACUCCUACGGGAGGCAGCAGUAGGGAAUAUUGGGCAAUGAGCGAAAGCUUGACCCAGCCAUACCGCGUGGGGGAAGACGGUCCACAGGAUUGUAAACCCCUUUUAUAUAGGAAUAAGGUCCUAUUUUUUAGGAUUUGCAGGUACUAUACGAAUAAGCACCGGCAAACUACGUGCCAGCAGCCGCGGUAAUACGUAGGGUGCAAGCGUUGUCCGGAUUUACUGGGUUUAAAGGAUCCGUAGGCGGGAGAAUUAGUCGGCGAUGAAAUCAGGUGGCUCAACCAUCUGGCUGUUGCCGAAACUGUUCUUCUUGAAUUA
This 633-nucleotide ribosomal RNA is filed under the name uncultured bacterium. RNAcentral describes it as "bacterial SSU rRNA". It matches the Rfam family "Bacterial small subunit ribosomal RNA", at positions 8 to 649 of the family's 1533-position model. The record is from RNAcentral.